GGGGUUGUGGCUCAACAGUAGAGCACUCGCCUAGCACGUGUGAGGCCCUGGGUUCGAUCCUCAGCACCA
Ictidomys tridecemlineatus (thirteen-lined ground squirrel) is the source of this 69-nucleotide non-coding RNA. The record is from Rfam. NCBI's taxonomy places the organism in Eukaryota, Metazoa, Chordata, Mammalia, Rodentia, Sciuridae.